GUCUGUGGCCAUGCCACCCUGAAUGCACUCAAUCUCAUCUGAUCUCAGACACUAAGAAAGAUCGGCCUGGUUAGUACUUGGAUGGGAGACUGCGUGGAAAUCCUGGUGCUAUAGGCU
Molecule: ribosomal RNA, 117 nt
Filed under: Capra hircus (goat)
Lineage: Eukaryota; Metazoa; Chordata; Mammalia; Artiodactyla; Bovidae
Source: RNAcentral